ACUCCUACGGGAGGCAGCAGUGGGGAAUUUUGGACAAUGGGCGAAAGCCUGAUCCAGCAAUGCCGCGUGAGUGAAGAAGGCCUUCGGGUUGUAAAGCUCUUUUGUCAGGGAAGAAACGGUGAAAGCUAAUAUCUUUUGCUAAUGACGGUACCUGAAGAAUAAGCACCGGCUAACUACGUGCCAGCAGCCGCGGUAAUACGUAGGGUGCAAGCGUUAAUCGGAAUUACUGGGCGUAAAGCGUGCGCAGGCGGUUUUGUAAGUCUGAUGUGAAAUCCCCGGGCUCAACCUGGGAAUUGCAUUGGGGACUGCAAGGCUAGAAUCUGGCAGAGGGGGGUAGAAUUCCACGUGUAGCAGUGAAAUGCGUAGAUAUGUGGAGGAACACCGAUGGCGAAGGCAGCCCCCUGGGUCAAGAUUGACGCUCAUGCACGAAAGCGUGGGGAGCAAACAGGAUUAGAAACCCGUGUAGUCCCAU
RNAcentral lists this ribosomal RNA (472 nucleotides) under uncultured organism. Its description in RNAcentral is "partial 16S ribosomal RNA". It matches the Rfam family "Bacterial small subunit ribosomal RNA", at positions 335 to 798 of the family's 1533-position model. The record is from RNAcentral.